Schistocerca gregaria is the source of this 1313-nucleotide long non-coding RNA. RefSeq lists it as uncharacterized. The record is from RefSeq and is a predicted model, not a curated record. The transcript has 3 exons. Lineage: Eukaryota; Metazoa; Arthropoda; Insecta; Orthoptera; Acrididae.
UUAAAUAAAUUAAUAUUAAUCAAUAUAACAAAAAAUAUUUUAACCAUAUGGUCCUUUCGUACUAAUAUGGAUUAACAAUCUUAGGAUAGAAACCGACCUGGCUCACGCCGGUCUGAACUCAGAUCAUGUAAGAAUUUAAAGGUCGAACAGACCUAAUCAUUGGGCUCCUGCACCCAAAAUUUUUCUUAAUCCAACAUCGAGGUCGCAAUCUGCUUUGUCGAUAUGAGCUCUCAAAAACAAUUACGCUGUUAUCCCUAAGGUAACUUAAUCUUAUGAUCAUAAAUUAUGGAUCAAAAUAACAAACAUAAAUAAAUGAUAUAAUAAUGAAGAGUUUAUCUAUUCUUCAUGUCACCCCAACAAAACAUCAUCAUUAAAUAUAGAAAGACAAACAAAAAACUAUAUAAAAGUAAAAUGUAAAGCUCUAUAGGGUCUUCUCGUCCUAAAGAAAAUUUAAGCCUUUUGACUCAAAAGUUAAAUUCAAAAAUUUAUUAAGAGACAGUUGAUUUCUCGUCAAGCCAUUCAUUCCAGCCACUAAUUAAGAGACUAAUGAUUAUGCUACCUUUGCACGGUCAAAAUACCGCGGCUCUUUAAAAAUACGCUCAGUGAGCAGGCCAGACCUCAAAAUAUAAACAAGAGGACAUGUUUUUGAUAAACAGGCGGAAAUCAAUUUUGCCUAGUUCCUUAUAAUAAGUUCACAAGGUAAAAAUUUCAUACAAAUAAAUAUACUAAUUCUAUCAUUAUUACAAAAAUUUUAAAAUUAAAUUAAAAUCUUAAUAAAAAACCUAAAAUAUUUAUAAAAUCAAAAUAAAAAAUAAUGAACUAAAACGUAAUCUUAAAGAUAGCUGGUUUAAAGCUUACUAUUAUAUUUCUAUAAAAUAAAUUAUAGGUUAUUAACUUCAAAGCUUAUCCCUUAAAGAAUAAAUAAGUUAAUAUUUUUACUUAAAAAAUUAAAUAAAAACAAAUAACUUUAAAAAAUUAAAUUUUUUCUUAAGAAACUAGAUAUCUUGGGAAACGAUUAACAUCUCAUUUCUAUAAAUAAUUUAAUUAUAAUUAUGAUACAUUAACUAUAAAUUAUUUAUAAAUCAACCCAAAUCGAGACAAGUAAAAUAAAUACUAAAAUUUUGAUAAACCCUGAUACAAAAAGUACAAUAAAUAAAAUCUACUUAAAAAAAUUUAAAAUAAUAUUUCAUAAAACACUUACAUUAGCAAUAAACUAUAAUUUAAAAAAUCAAUUCUAUAAAAUAUACUAAGACAAAAAUACAAUAAAAUUAUUUAUAUUAAAUAAUUAAAUAAACAAAAAAUAAAUAUAAUAA